Molecule: ribosomal RNA, 517 nt
Filed under: uncultured bacterium
Lineage: Bacteria
Description: bacterial SSU rRNA
Rfam family: Bacterial small subunit ribosomal RNA
Source: RNAcentral
GUCCACUCUAGAGAUAGAGCUUCCCUUCGGGGGCAGAAUGACAGGUGGUGCAUGGUUGUCGUCAGCUCGUGUCGUGAGAUGUUGGGUUAAGUCCCAUAACGAGCGCAACCCUUAUUGUUAGUUGCCAGCAUUCAGUUGGGCACUCUAGCGAGACUGCCGGUGAUAAACCGGAGGAAGGUGGGGAUGACGUCAAAUCAUCAUGCCCCUUAUGGGCUGGGCUACACACGUGCUACAAUGGACGGUACAACGGGUUGCGAUGCCGCAAGGCGCAGCGAAUCCUACAAAGCCGUUCUCAGUUCGGAUUGUUCUCUGCAACUCGAGAGCAUGAAGCCGGAAUCGCUAGUAAUCGCGGAUCAGAAUGCCGCGGUGAAUACGUUCCCGGGUCUUGUACACACCGCCCGUCACACCACGAGAGUUCGUAACACCCGAAGCCGAUUAAGUAACCUCUUUGAGGAGCUGAUCGUCAAAGGUGGGAUGAAUGAUUGGGGUGAAGUCGUAACAAGGUAAGCGUAGCGAG